RNAcentral lists this ribosomal RNA (493 nucleotides) under Aphelenchoides sp. 10 JH-2012. RNAcentral describes it as "SSU rRNA". It matches the Rfam family "Eukaryotic small subunit ribosomal RNA", at positions 89 to 590 of the family's 1831-position model. The record is from RNAcentral. Lineage: Eukaryota; Metazoa; Nematoda; Chromadorea; Rhabditida; Aphelenchoididae.
GCGAAUAGCUCAUUACAACAGCUAUAAUUUACUUGUUCUAUUCCUUUAAACGGAUAACUGCGGUAAUUCUGGAGCCAAUACGUGCUAAAAGCCGAAUUCAGCAAUGAGUUCGGUGCACUUAUCGGAGCAAAACCCUUCCUGGUUUUAUGCUAACUCUGGAUAACACUGCUUAUCGCACGACCUCGUGUCGGCGAAGUUACAUUCAAGUAUCUGCCUUAUCAACUUUCGAUGGUAGUGUAUUGGACUGCCAUGGUGUUGACGGGUAACGGAGAAUCAGGGUUCGACUCCGGAGAGGGAGCCUUAGAAACGGCUACCAUGUCUAAGGACAGCAGCAGGCGCGCAACUUAUCCACUGUUCAUUGAACGAGAUAGUGACGAGAAAUAACAAGUCCGUUCUCUAUGAGGUCGGACAUUGGAAUGGAUGGAAUCUAAACAAUUCCAUGAGUCCCCACGAGAGGGCAAGUCUGGUGCCAGCAGCCGCGGUAAUUCCAGCU